This 630-nucleotide long non-coding RNA is filed under the name Rattus norvegicus (Norway rat). Its description in RNAcentral is "long non-coding RNA NONRATT029165". The record is from RNAcentral. Lineage: Eukaryota; Metazoa; Chordata; Mammalia; Rodentia; Muridae.
GACGUGCUCGGUGCUGUUAUGGCUUCCAGCGGUGUGACGGUGAGCGCCGCCGGCUCGGCCGGUGAGAACUCCGAGGUUCCAGACAACGUGGGAGACUGGCUUCGCGGCGUCUACCGCUUCGCCACCGAUCGGAACGACUUCCGGAGGUAAUCGAACCUGACCCCUCUCUGGUCCUCAUAAACUUAAACUUGUAUUUCCCUACUUAGUGAGUCUGGCAUGCAUCCCCAGGGGUUUUAUCUCAUUGAGAAGAGUGGUUUCGUGGUGGCAAAAGCCAUCUAUCACGUGGCUUUCAAGGUAUGUCGCCCUGGGUUGCAACAAUAGUUCAGCUGCCAGGCCUGAGGACAUGAGUUCAAUCCAUGGGGCUGGUAGGUUGGAAAAGACCAACUAACUCCUCCGGGUUUGUACUGACCUGCACAUAUGCAUUGUGUCACGUGCACGCGCGCGCACAUACACAAAUUUUUUUUUUUUUUUUUUUGGAGCUGGGGACCGAACCCAGGGCCUUGCGCUUCCUAGGUAAGCGCUCUACCACUGAGCUAAAUCCCCAGCCCCUAAAGUAAUAUUUUUAAGAAGUCACUCUGACCUAAAAAGCAGGGAAGGGGUUUCGGCGCAUAAACAGAUUUUAGCCCCAGC